This 459-nucleotide ribosomal RNA is filed under the name uncultured bacterium. RNAcentral describes it as "partial 16S ribosomal RNA". It matches the Rfam family "Bacterial small subunit ribosomal RNA", at positions 338 to 795 of the family's 1533-position model. The record is from RNAcentral.
CCUACGAGAGGCAGCAGUGAGGAAUAUUGGUCAAUGGUCGGGAGACUGAACCAGCCAAGCCGCGGGAGGGAGGAAGGUACAGAGUAUCGUAAACCUCUUUUGUCAGGGAACAAAGGCGGGGACGUGUCCCCGGAUGAGUGUACCUGAAGAAAAAGCAUCGGCUAACUCCGUGCCAGCAGCCGCGGUAAUACGGAGGAUGCGAGCGUUAUCCGGAUUUAUUGGGUUUAAAGGGUGCGCAGGCGGUCUGUUAAGUCAGCGGUCAAAGCCCGGGGCUCAACCCCGGCCCGCCGUUGAAACUGGCAGUCUCGAGUUGGAGAGAAGGAUGCGGAAUGCGCGGUGUAGCGGUGAAAGGCAUAGAUAUCGCGCAGAACUCCGAUUGCGAAGGCAGCAUGCCGGCUCCACACUGACGCUGAGGCACGAAAGCGUGGGUAUCGAACAGGAUUAGAUACCCCAGUAGUC